Ovis aries (sheep) is the source of this 72-nucleotide transfer RNA. It matches the Rfam family "tRNA". Rfam says of the family: Transfer RNA (tRNA) molecules are approximately 80 nucleotides in length. Their secondary structure includes four short double-helical elements and three loops (D, anti-codon, and T loops). Further hydrogen bonds mediate the characteristic L-shaped molecular structure. tRNAs have two regions of fundamental functional importance: the anti-codon, which is responsible for specific mRNA codon recognition, and the 3' end, to which the tRNAs corresponding amino acid is attached (by aminoacyl-tRNA synthetases). tRNAs cope with the degeneracy of the genetic code in two manners: having more than one tRNA (with a specific anti-codon) for a particular amino acid; and 'wobble' base-pairing, i.e. permitting non-standard base-pairing at the 3rd anti-codon position. NCBI's taxonomy places the organism in Eukaryota, Metazoa, Chordata, Mammalia, Artiodactyla, Bovidae. The record is from Rfam.
GGGGGUAUAGCUCAGGGGUAGAGCAUUUGACUGCAGAUCAAGAGGUCCCCGGUUCAUAUCUGGGUGCCCCCU